UACGUAGGGGGCUAGCGUUGUCCGGAAUCAUUGGGCGUAAAGAGCGUGUAGGCGGUCCGGUAAGUCCGCUGUGAAAGUCGGGGGCUCAACCCUCGAAUGCCGGUGGAUACUGUCGGGCUAGAGUGCGGAAGAGGCGAGUGGAAUUCCUGGUGUAGCGGUGAAAUGCGUAGAUAUCGGGAGGAACACCUGCGAUGUAGAUGGCUUACUGGACCGUAACUGACGCUGAGGCACGAAAGCGUGGGUAGCAAACAGG
RNAcentral lists this ribosomal RNA (253 nucleotides) under uncultured bacterium. Its description in RNAcentral is "partial 16S ribosomal RNA". It matches the Rfam family "Bacterial small subunit ribosomal RNA", at positions 524 to 776 of the family's 1533-position model. The record is from RNAcentral.